GUAGGUAUUGCAACAUGAAUACAUAGUGUUGCAAGGCGAACGAGGGGAAGUGAAACAUCUCAGUACCCUUAGGAAAAGAAAUCAAUUGAGAUUCCCUCAGUAGCGGCGAGCGAACGGGGAUCAGCCCAUUAAGUUAUGUGUGUUUUAGUGGAACGCUCUGGGAAGUGCGAACGUAGAGGGUGAUAUUCCCGUACACGAAAGGGCACACAUAAUGAUGACGAGUAGGGCGAGGCACGUGAAACCUUGUCUGAAUAUGGGGGGACCAUCCUCCAAGGCUAAAUACUCCUGACUGACCGAUAGUGAACCAGUACCGUGAGGGAAAGGCGAAAAGAACCCCUGUGAGGGGAGUGAAAUAGAUCCUGAAACCGCAUGCAUACAAGCAGUGGGAGCACCUUCGUGGUGUGACUGCGUACCUUUUGUAUAAUGGGUCAGCGACUUAUAUUCAGUAGCAAGGUUAACCGUAUAGGGGAGCCGUAGAGAAAUCGAGUCUUAAUAGGGCGUUUAGUUGCUGGGUAUAGACCCGAAACCAGGCGAUCUAUCCAUGAGCAGGUUGAAGGUUGGGUAACACUAACUGGAGGACCGAACCCACUGUCGUUGAAAAGCCAGGGGAUGACUUGUGGAUAGGGGUGAAAGGCUAAUCAAGCCUGGUGAUAGCUGGUUCUCCCCGAAAGCUAUUUAGGUAGCGCCUCGGACGAAUACCAUAGGGGGUAGAGCACUGUUUCGGCUAGGGGGUCAUCCCGACUUACCAAACCGAUGCAAACUCCGAAUACCUAUGAGUACUAUCCGGGAGACAGACUGCGGGUGCUAACGUCCGUAGUCAAGAGGAAAACAAUCCAGACCGCCAGCUAAGGCCCCAAAAUCAUAGUUAAGUGGGAAACGAUGUGGGAAGGCAUAGACAGCUAGGAGGUUGGCUUAGAAGCAGCCACCCUUUAAAGAAAGCGUAAUAGCUCACUAGUCGAGUCGGCCUGCGCGGAAGAUGUAACGGGGCUAAAACUAUGUGCCGAAGCUGCGGAUGUAUACUUUGUAUACGUGGUAGGGGAGCGUUCUGUAAGCCGAUGAAGGUGUGUUGAGAAGCAUGCUGGAGGUAUCAGAAGUGCGAAUGCUGACGUGAGUAACGACAAAACGGGUGAAAAACCCGUUCGCCGAAAGACCAAGGGUUCCAGUCCAACGUUAAUCGGGGCUGGGUGAGUCGACCCCUAAGGCGAGGCCGAAAGGCGUAGUCGAUGGGAAAAUGGUUAAUAUUCCAUUACUUCUGUGUAAUGCGAUGAGAGGACGGAGAAGGCUAAAUCAGCCUGGCGUUGGUUGUCCAGGUGAAAGGAUGUAGGCAUGUAUCUUAGGCAAAUCCGGGGUACUCUAUGCUGAGAUCUGAUAGCAAGCUGUACUUGUACAGCGAAGUGGUUGAUGCCAUGCUUCCAGGAAAAGUCUCUAAGCUUCAGUUACACAGGAAUCGUACCCGAAACCGACACAGGUGGUCAGGUCGAGUAGACCAAGGCGCUUGAGAGAACUCUGCUGAAGGAACUAGGCAAAAUGGUACCGUAACUUCGGGAGAAGGUACGCUGUUGUUGGUGAUGGAACUCGCUUCCUGAGCUGACGACAGCCGCAGAAACCAGGCCGCUGCAACUGUUUAUUAAAAACAUAGCACUCUGCAAACACGAAAGUGGACGUAUAGGGUGUGAUGCCUGCCCGGUGCUGGAAGGUUAAUUGAUGGGGUUAGCGUAAGCGAAGCUCUUGAUCGAAGCCCCAGUAAACGGCGGCCGUAACUAUAACGGUCCUAAGGUAGCGAAAUUCCUUGUCGGGUAAGUUCCGACCUGCACGAAUGGCAUAAUGAUGGCGGCGCUGUCUCCAGCAGAGGCUCAGUGAAAUCGAAAUCGCUGUGAAGAUGCAGUGUACCCGCGGCUAGACGGAAAGACCCCGUGAACCUUUACUGCAGCUUGACACUGAACUUUGACCUUACUUGUGUAGGAUAGGUGGGAGGCUUUGAAGCUGGAACGCUAGUUCCAGUGGAGCCGUCCUUGAAAUACCACCCUGGUAAUGUUGAGGUUCUAACUCUGUCCCGUGAUCCGGGACGAGGACCGUGUCUGGUGGGUAGUUUGACUGGGGCGGUCUCCUCCUAAAGAGUAACGGAGGAGUACGAAGGUGCGCUCAGCGUGGUCGGAAAUCACGCGUAGAGUAUAAAGGCAAAAGCGCGCUUAACUGCGAGACCCACAAGUCGAGCAGGUACGAAAGUAGGUCUUAGUGAUCCGGUGGUUCUGUAUGGAAGGGCCAUCGCUCAACGGAUAAAAGGUACUCUGGGGAUAACAGGCUGAUACCGCCCAAGAGUUCAUAUCGACGGCGGUGUUUGGCACCUCGAUGUCGGCUCAUCUCAUCCUGGGGCUGAAGCAGGUCCCAAGGGUAUGGCUGUUCGCCAUUUAAAGAGGUACGCGAGCUGGGUUUAGAACGUCGUGAGACAGUUCGGUCCCUAUCUACCGUGGGCGCUGGAAAUUUGAGAGGAUCUGCUCCUAGUACGAGAGGACCAGAGUGGACGAACCUCUGGUGUACCGGUUGUGACGCCAGUCGCAUCGCCGGGUAGCUAUGUUCGGAAGGGAUAACCGCUGAAAGCAUCUAAGCGGGAAGCCUACCUCAAGAUAAGAUUUCCCUAGGACUUUAUGUCCUCUAAAGAGCCGUUCGAGACUAGGACGUUGAUAGGUUGGAUGUGGAAGCAUAGUGAUAUGUGAAGCUGACCAAUACUAAUUGCUCGUGAGGCUUGACUAUACAACACCCAAGCAGUUG
RNAcentral lists this ribosomal RNA (2769 nucleotides) under Acinetobacter baumannii. RNAcentral's name for it is "partial 23S ribosomal RNA". It matches the Rfam family "Bacterial large subunit ribosomal RNA". The record is from RNAcentral. Lineage: Bacteria; Pseudomonadati; Pseudomonadota; Gammaproteobacteria; Moraxellales; Moraxellaceae.